This 308-nucleotide long non-coding RNA is filed under the name Calidris pygmaea (Spoon-billed sandpiper). Its description in RNAcentral is "lncRNA (ENSCPGG00000006603.1)". The record is from RNAcentral. Lineage: Eukaryota; Metazoa; Chordata; Aves; Charadriiformes; Scolopacidae.
GUCGCGGACGGUGGCGUUACUGGAGAGCGGCUGUCAGCGGGCGGGCAGCCAUGUGGCGCUGGAGGCUCCUUCCCUCGGUGCUGCUACUCGCCGUCCUGGUCCCUGUCAGAGGUGAUCUUGAUGACUUCAGCUUAGAAGAGGCACUUGACACUACAAAGAAGCCUCUUCCAUCUCGGAAACCACCAGCAUCAGAUCAUGAUGAUUUCAACUUGGAAGAUGCUUUUCAACCUGAUGAACCCAAGCCAGGUCCACCUGCAAAUCCUAGAGACACUGGUAAGACUGACUUAACAGGAAUUGCUGAACAGUAG